This is a long non-coding RNA of Erinaceus europaeus (western European hedgehog), 310 nucleotides long. RefSeq lists it as uncharacterized. NCBI's taxonomy places the organism in Eukaryota, Metazoa, Chordata, Mammalia, Eulipotyphla, Erinaceidae. The record is from RefSeq and is a predicted model, not a curated record. The transcript has 3 exons.
UCUUUCCUGCAUGAAAAUGUUCUCAUGCUGUUUUCCCAGUUUCUGGAGAAAUAGGCACCAGAACACCCCCGAACAGAGUCCUGAAAGAAAUUGCUUUUUAAAUUGGAUAUUAUGUCCACCUUGCUGUGCCUGCACUCAGGCAGAGGAGGAGGAGGAGGAGGUGUGUGUACCCUCCAGCCUGUGUGUGGAGCAACCGAAGGCAGUUGCUCAGGCCAAGGGUGAGCCCAGAGCUUAUGUGGAGCAGCUGGCUGGCCAGGAGGCCCCCAGGCUCCAAGAGGUGGAGCAGCUGAAGCCAAAGGAGGAGGAGGAG